RNAcentral lists this signal recognition particle RNA (265 nucleotides) under Clostridiaceae bacterium. RNAcentral's name for it is "signal recognition particle sRNA large type". It matches the Rfam family "Bacterial large signal recognition particle RNA". Rfam says of the family: The signal recognition particle (SRP) is a universally conserved ribonucleoprotein involved in the co-translational targeting of proteins to membranes. Archaeal SRP consists of a 7S RNA and homologues of the eukaryotic SRP19 and SRP54 proteins. In most bacteria, the SRP consists of a 4.5S RNA and the Ffh protein (a homologue of the eukaryotic SRP54 protein). The record is from RNAcentral. Lineage: Bacteria; Bacillati; Bacillota; Clostridia; Eubacteriales; Clostridiaceae.
UCGUGCUAGAUGGGGAGCUAGCGGUGCCCUGUAACCUGCAAUCCGCUACAGCAGGAUUGAAUUCCUUCUUUAGGCUUUAGGCUGUUAGGACAGUCUUACUCAAGUGGUGUUGAGAAUUGGGUCCCAUGCAACAGAAGUUCAUAAACUCCGUCAGAUCCGGAAGGAAGCAGCGGUAAGUGAAUCCUUUUGUGUGCCGUGGAGCAACCUGAUUUGAGCUAACUAGGUAAGAAACGCUGGUAGAUUAUUGCCGACAGAAGGUGCACGA